AAAUGACUCUCGGCAACGGAUAUCUUGGCUCUCGCAUCGAUGAAGAACGUAGCGAAAUGCGAUACUUGGUGUGAAUUGCAGAAUCCCGUGAACCAUCGAGUCUUUGAACGCAAGUUGCGCCCGAAGCCAUUAGGUUGAGGGCACGCCUGCCUGGGCGUCACGC
This 163-nucleotide ribosomal RNA is filed under the name Codonanthopsis chiricana. Its description in RNAcentral is "5.8S ribosomal RNA". It matches the Rfam family "5.8S ribosomal RNA". Rfam says of the family: 5.8S ribosomal RNA (5.8S rRNA) is a component of the large subunit of the eukaryotic ribosome. It is transcribed by RNA polymerase I as part of the 45S precursor that also contains 18S and 28S rRNA. Lineage: Eukaryota; Viridiplantae; Streptophyta; Magnoliopsida; Lamiales; Gesneriaceae. The record is from RNAcentral.